This 467-nucleotide ribosomal RNA is filed under the name Erysipelotrichaceae bacterium canine oral taxon 311. RNAcentral describes it as "bacterial SSU rRNA". It matches the Rfam family "Bacterial small subunit ribosomal RNA", at positions 9 to 469 of the family's 1533-position model. Lineage: Bacteria; Bacillati; Bacillota; Erysipelotrichia; Erysipelotrichales; Erysipelotrichaceae. The record is from RNAcentral.
GAGUUUGAUUCUGGCUCAGGAUGAACGCUGGCGGCGUGCCUAAUACAUGCAAGUUGAACGGACUUGGAGGGUGCUUGCACCUAACAAGUUGGUAGCGAACGGGUGAGUAAUACAUAAGCAACCUACCUAUUAGACUGGGAUAACUAUGGGAAACGAUAGCUAAUACCGGAUAGGUAACUUGAAGGCAUCUUUAAGUUAUUAAAGGUUAGAGACACUAAUAGAUGGGCUUAUGGCGUAUUAGUUAGUUGGUGAGGUAACGGCUCACCAAGACGAUGAUACGUAGCCGGCCUGAGAGGGUGAACGGCCACAUUGGGACUGAGACACGGCCCAGACUCCUACGGGAGGCAGCAGUAGGGAAUUUUCGGCAAUGGGUGCAAGCCUGACCGAGCAACGCCGCGUGAGUGAAGAAGGCCUUCGGGUUGUAAAGCUCUGUUAUAAAUUAAGAAUGGCUAUAAGGGACUAUAGAG